AGCCAAAGAGAGUAAUAGCCUCGUAUUUGAAAUAUUCUUUAUACCUAGCAGUAUCCUGAGUACGGCGAGACACGCGAAAUCUCGUCGGAAUCCGGGAGGACCAUCUCCCAACCCUAAAUACUCUCUAGUGACCGAUAGUGAACCAGUACCGUGAGGGAAAGGUGAAAAGUACCCCGGAAGGGGAGUGAAAUAGAACCUGAAACCGUGUGCCUACAACAAGUUCGAGCCCGUUAAUGGGUGAGAGCGUGCCUUUUGUAGAAUGAACCGGCGAGUUACGAUAUGAUGCGAGGUUAAGUUGAAGAGACGGAGCCGUAGGGAAACCGAGUCUUAAUAGGGCGGAUUAGUAUUAUGUCGUAGACCCGAAACCAUGUGACCUACCCAUGAGCAGGUUGAAGGUGCGGUAAGACGCACUGGAGGACCGAACCAGGGCACGUUGAAAAGUGCUUGGAUGACUUGUGGGUAGCGGAGAAAUUCCAAACGAACUUGGAGAUAGCUGGUUCUCUCCGAAAUAGCUUUAGGGCUAGCGUCGACAUUUGAGAAUCUUGGAGGUAGAGCACUGUUUGGAUGAGGGGGCCAUCUCGGUUUACUGAUUUCAGAUAAACUCCGAAUGCCAAUGAUUUAUGGUCGGCAGUCAGACUGCGAGUGCUAAGAUCCGUAGUCGAAAGGGAAACAGCCCAGACCACCAGCUAAGGUCCCAAAAUAAUUGUUAAGUGGAAAAGGAUGUGGGGUUGCACAGACAACUAGGAUGUUAGCUUAGAAGCAGCUAUUCAUUCAAAGAGUGCGUAAUAGCUCACUAGUCGAGUGACCCUGCGCCGAAAAUGUACCGGGGCUAAAACAAUUUACCGAAGCUGUGGAUAACACUUUAGUGUUAUGGUAGGAGAGCGUUCUAUGUGUGAAGAAGGUAUACCGUGAGGAGUGCUGGAACGCAUAGAAGUGAGAAUGCCGGUAUGAGUAGCGAAAGAUGGGUGAGAAUCCCAUCCACCGUAAGACUAAGGUUUCCAGGGGAAGGCUCGUCCGCCCUGGGUUAGUCGGGACCUAAGGAGAGACCGAAGGGUGUAUCCGAUGGACAACAGGUUGAUAUUCCUGUACUAGAGUAUGAAGUGAUGGAGGGACGCAGUAGGCUAACUAAAGCGGGCGAUUGGAAGUGCCCGUCUAAGCAGUGAGGUGUGAUAUGAGUCAAAUGCUUGUAUCUGUAACAUUGAGCUGUGAUGGGGAGCGAAGUUAAGUAGCGAAGUUAGUGACGUCACACUGCCGAGAAAAGCUUCUAGCGAUGUAUCAUACUCUACCCGUACCGCAAACCGACACAGGUAGUCGAGGCGAGUAGCCUCAGGUGAGCGAGAGAACUCUCGUUAAGGAACUCGGCAAAAUGACCCCGUAACUUCGGGAGAAGGGGUGCUGACUUAAAGUCAGCCGCAGUGAAUAGGCCCAAGCAACUGUUUAUCAAAAACACAGCUCUCUGCUAAAUCGUAAGAUGAUGUAUAGGGGGUGACGCCUGCCCGGUGCUGGAAGGUUAAGAGGAGGGUUUAGCGUAAGCGAAGAUCUGAAUUGAAGCCCCAGUAAACGGCGGCCGUAACUAUAACGGUCCUAAGGUAGCGAAAUUCCUUGUCGGGUAAGUUCCGACCCGCACGAAAGGCGUAAUGAUUUGGGCACUGUCUCAACGAGAGACUCGGUGAAAUUUUAGUACCUGUGAAGAUGCAGGUUACCCGCGACAGGACGGAAAGACCCCAUGGAGCUUUACUGCAGUUUGAUAUUGAGUAUCUGUACCACAUGUACAGGAUAGGUAGGAGCCUACGAAGUCGGGACGCCAGUUUCGACUGAGGCGCUGUUGGGAUACUACCCUUGUGUUAUGGCUACUCUAACCCGGAUAGGUUAUCCCUAUCGGAGACAGUGUCUGACGGGCAGUUUGACUGGGGCGGUCGCCUCCUAAAAGGUAACGGAGGCGCCCAAAGGUUCCCUCAGAAUGGUUGGAAAUCAUUCGCAGAGUGUAAAGGUAUAAGGGAGCUUGACUGCGAGAGCUACAACUCGAGCAGGGACGAAAGUCGGGCUUAGUGAUCCGGUGGUUCCGUAUGGAAGGGCCAUCGCUCAACGGAUAAAAGCUACCCUGGGGAUAACAGGCUUAUCUCCCCCAAGAGUUCACAUCGACGGGGAGGUUUGGCACCUCGAUGUCGGCUCGUCGCAUCCUGGGGCUGUAGUCGGUCCCAAGGGUUGGGCUGUUCGCCCAUUAAAGCGGCACGCGAGCUGGGUUCAGAACGUCGUGAGACAGUUCGGUCCCUAUCCGUCGCGGGCGUAGGAAAUUUGAGAGGAUCUGCUCCUAGUACGAGAGGACCAGAGUGGACUUACCGCUGGUGUACCAGUUGUCUUGCCAAAGGCAUCGCUGGGUAGCUAUGUAGGGACGGGAUAAACGCUGAAAGCAUCUAAGUGUGAAACCCACCUCAAGAUGAGAUUUCCCAUAACUUUAUGUUAGU
This 2465-nucleotide ribosomal RNA is filed under the name Streptococcus suis. RNAcentral's name for it is "bacterial LSU rRNA". It matches the Rfam family "Bacterial large subunit ribosomal RNA", at positions 353 to 2829 of the family's 2925-position model. The record is from RNAcentral. Lineage: Bacteria; Bacillati; Bacillota; Bacilli; Lactobacillales; Streptococcaceae.